UACGUAGGUGGCAAGCGUUGUCCGGAAUUAUUGGGCGUAAAGCGUGCGCAGGCGGUUUGUUAAGUCCGUUGUGAAAGCCCCGAGCUCAACUUGGGAAUUGCAGUGGAUACUGGCAGGCUGGAGUACGGUAGAGGAAGGUGGAAUUCCCGGUGUAGCAGUGAAAUGCGUAGAUAUCGGGAGGAACACCAGUGGCGAAGGCGGCCUUCUGGACCAGUACUGACGCUCAUGCACGAAAGCGUGGGGAGCAAACAGG
Molecule: ribosomal RNA, 253 nt
Filed under: uncultured bacterium
Lineage: Bacteria
Description: partial 16S ribosomal RNA
Rfam family: Bacterial small subunit ribosomal RNA
Source: RNAcentral